RNAcentral lists this ribosomal RNA (495 nucleotides) under uncultured bacterium. RNAcentral describes it as "partial 16S ribosomal RNA". It matches the Rfam family "Bacterial small subunit ribosomal RNA", at positions 28 to 507 of the family's 1533-position model. The record is from RNAcentral.
GACGAACGCUGGCGGCGUGCCUAAUACAUGCAAGUAGAACGCUGAAGGAGGAGCUUGCUUCUCUGGAUGAGUUGCGAACGGGUGAGUAACGCGUAGGUAACCUGCCUGGUAGCGGGGGAUAACUAUUGGAAACGAUAGCUAAUACCGCAUAAGAGUAGAUGUUGCAUGACAUUUGCUUAAAAGGUGCAAUUGCAUCACUACCAGAUGGACCUGCGUUGUAUUAGCUAGUUGGUGGGGUAACGGCUCACCAAGGCGACGAUUCAUAGCCGACCUGAGAGGGUGAUCGGCCACACUGGGACUGAGACACGGCCCAGACUCCUACGGGAGGCAGCAGUAGGGAAUCUUCGGCAAUGGACGGAAGUCUGACCGAGCAACGCCGCGUGAGUGAAGAAGGUUUUCGGAUCGUAAAGCUCUGUUGUAAGAGAAGAACGAGUGUGAGAGUGGAAAGUUCACACUGUGACGGUAUCUUACCAGAAAGGGACGGCUAACUACGUG